This 61-nucleotide transfer RNA is filed under the name Pyrrhidium sanguineum. Its description in RNAcentral is "tRNA-Ser". The record is from RNAcentral. Lineage: Eukaryota; Metazoa; Arthropoda; Insecta; Coleoptera; Cerambycidae.
AGCCCAUGAGCUUGAAUAAGCGUUUACUUUGAAAGUAUAAGAUAGGAUUUCCUAUGGGCUU